UCNAGAGUUUUGUUCUGGCUCAGGAUGAACGCUGGCGGCGUGCUUAACACAUGCAAGUCGAACGAUGAUCCCAGCUUGCUGGGGGAUUAGUGGCGAACGGGUGAGUAACACGUGAGUAACCUGCCCUUAACUCUGGGAUAAGCCUGGGAAACUGGGUCUAAUACCGGAUAUGACUCCUCAUCGCAUGGUGGGGGGUGGAAAGCUUUUUGUGGUUUUGGAUGGACUCGCGGCCUAUCAGCUUGUUGGUGAGGUAAUGGCUCACCAAGGCGACGACGGGUAGCCGGCCUGAGAGGGUGACCGGCCACACUGGGACUGAGACACGGCCCAGACUCCUACGGGAGGCAGCAGUGGGGAAUAUUGCACAAUGGGCGAAAGCCUGAUGCAGCGACGCCGCGUGAGGGAUGACGGCCUUCGGGUUGUAAACCUCUUUCAGUAGGGAAGAAGCGAAAGUGACGGUACCUGCAGAAGAAGCGCCGGCUAACUACGUGCCAGCAGCCGCGGUAAUACGUAGGGCGCAAGCGUUAUCCGGAAUUAUUGGGCGUAAAGAGCUCGUAGGCGGUUUGUCGCGUCUGCCGUGAAAGUCCGGGGCUCAACUCCGGAUCUGCGGUGGGUACGGGCAGACUAGAGUGAUGUAGGGGAGACUGGAAUUCCUGGUGUAGCGGUGAAAUGCGCAGAUAUCAGGAGGAACACCGAUGGCGAAGGCAGGUCUCUGGGCAUUAACUGACGCUGAGGAGCGAAAGCAUGGGGAGCGAACAGGAUUAGAUACCCUGGUAGUCCAUGCCGUAAACGUUGGGCACUAGGUGUGGGGGACAUUCCACGUUUUCCGCGCCGUAGCUAACGCAUUAAGUGCCCCGCCUNGGGAGNCGCNGNC
Molecule: ribosomal RNA, 871 nt
Filed under: Arthrobacter sp. MF02_Fo
Lineage: Bacteria; Bacillati; Actinomycetota; Actinomycetes; Micrococcales; Micrococcaceae
Description: bacterial SSU rRNA
Rfam family: Bacterial small subunit ribosomal RNA
Source: RNAcentral